GUUUAGGGAUUUCUGAGAUAAAACUGUGGAGAGAAUAGUCAUGACUUGAAGAUGUCAGUGCUACAAGUACCACAUGGAAUUUGGAAACCUGGAGGAUCUUAGCAAUGGAAGAUGAUGAGCAGAAAAGUUAAUGAAGUAUUCUCAGCCUGAACAAAAUACCUGAAGGUCAGCAGAGUGACAGCUCAUAAUAAUAUUCUCUCUGUACUGAGCUGAGGACACAAAUCCCAGCUCCUAGAUGAGGGCUUCAGUCUGUCCUGGGAUAGUAGCAAGAAUGGAGAAGAACUGCAUACGCACACAUCAGAAUAUAUGCAGUUGUCUUGUGUAUCUGAUAGUUCCUUAACUACACAAAAUAGAGCAAUGCAACAAGAGGACGGUAACUCAAUGUUGCCUGUGUAAAGCCCGGAAAUGGAAGGUGAGGUAGUGUGGAGGAUUCUCUCUACAUGAGAGCUGCACAUCUGUGUGAAAAAGUGUUUCACUAUUAAAGGAGAGCAUCACUGUCAACUAUGGAAGGCACUACAGAAGAAGUCAGGUUUUUCUCCGUAUUCUCACUUGCUGCUUCUUUUCCACGUGACAGCAGAAGUAUCCCCUCGUCUCCUUGUCUUUUGUCUCCCUUUCUCCCUUCUCCAUUUAACUUGUGAAACUUCAUGGUGGGUUUGAUCUAUCUGGGCUGUAACACACCCUUCACCAUGGGCUGUGUCUGUUAAACAUAAUUUAGCAGGUUACAGUAUGUCAGAUGAAUUGAGACGAUCUUUGCAGACCUGCAACAAACAUGGAAAAAAAAAGGAUUUAUUUUUUGUCUCCAACCUAUUUCGUAGCAAACUGUACAGAGUUACACUAACUUGCAUAUUCCAUAGGCUGAAACAUGCUUACAGCCCCUGGUACUCAGCUGACACUCAGCCAAGCUGUUAAACUGCAUACUGUGAUUCUAACCAUGGGUGGUGCCUGCAGCAUCCGCCACAAAUUUGUCUUGAUAUAUGCUUUUUGCCACCAGCUUCCCAAGAUUAACUACAGAAAUAGUGAGUGCUCUUAGACCUGAAUUCAGAUUAAUUCUAUUAAGUACUUUUUAUUUAAAUAACAGAAAGUGAUGUACUUGUGAGUCAGGGAGAAAAUAAAUGCUACUGCACACACUGAAAGGAAGUAACACCUUUUUAUUUUUUAAUCCAUAGAUUCAUUGGCAUCGGGUACGUCUACUCACCAAAUAAUUUAUCAAGUACAUCAGUAUUUAUAAAGUACAUUAAUGAGUCGGAACAUGAUCUAAUCAGUAUGUGGAAGUUUAUUUGUCAGACUGACUUAGAAGUACACAUUGGUAUUUUUCUGCUGAAGAUCAAAAUUAAACUACUUUCUGAGGGAAGAGGAAGGAGACGAAGGGAAGAGAAGGGAAAGGAAUAUUCUGUAUUUCUGUAAUUAUGUUUUACAAAAGUUAUAUGGGGUUUAACCAGAAGAAAGCUUAAGUGAUUGUGUUCACGUGUCAGCACAGAAAACUCUCAAGUGUCUGUACAAAG
Molecule: long non-coding RNA, 1502 nt
Organism: Numida meleagris (helmeted guineafowl)
Lineage: Eukaryota; Metazoa; Chordata; Aves; Galliformes; Numididae
Exons: 3
Source: RefSeq, a predicted model, not a curated record